Small nucleolar RNA from Lineus longissimus, 82 nucleotides. RefSeq annotates it as Z30 small nucleolar RNA. The record is from RefSeq and is a predicted model, not a curated record. The transcript has a single exon. Lineage: Eukaryota; Metazoa; Nemertea; Pilidiophora; Heteronemertea; Lineidae.
UUGCAAUGAUGAAGUGAUUGAGUGACUUGAUAUCACUUUGGUGUUGAUCGAGGAAUGAUCUGCUAAUCUUCUCUCUGAGCAA